Molecule: ribosomal RNA, 802 nt
Filed under: Staphylococcus pseudintermedius
Lineage: Bacteria; Bacillati; Bacillota; Bacilli; Caryophanales; Staphylococcaceae
Description: partial 23S ribosomal RNA
Rfam family: Bacterial large subunit ribosomal RNA
Source: RNAcentral
AAGUUCCGACCCGCACGAAAGGCGUAACGAUUUGGGCACUGUCUCAACGAGAGACUCGGUGAAAUCAUAGUACCGGUGAAGAUGCCGGUUACCCGCGACAGGACGGAAAGACCCCGUGGAGCUUUACUGUAGCCUGAUAUUGAAAUUCGGUACAGUUUGUACAGGAUAGGUAGGAGCCUUAGAAGCGUGAGCGCUAGCUUACGUGGAGGCAUUGGUGGGAUACUACCCUAAUUGUAUUGGAUUUCUAACCCGCAGCACUUAUCGUGCUGGGAGACAGUGUCAGGCGGGCAGUUUGACUGGGGCGGUCGCCUCCUAAAGAGUAACGGAGGCGCUCAAAGGUUCCCUCAGAAUGGUUGGAAAUCAUUCAUAGAGUGUAAAGGCAUAAGGGAGCUUGACUGCGAGACCUACAAGUCGAGCAGGGUCGAAAGACGGACUUAGUGAUCCGGUGGUUCCGCAUGGAAGGGCCAUCGCUCAACGGAUAAAAGCUACCCCGGGGAUAACAGGCUUAUCUCCCCCAAGAGUUCACAUCGACGGGGAGGUUUGGCACCUCGAUGUCGGCUCAUCGCAUCCUGGGGCUGUAGUCGGUCCCAAGGGUUGGGCUGUUCGCCCAUUAAAGCGGUACGCGAGCUGGGUUCAGAACGUCGUGAGACAGUUCGGUCCCUAUCCGUCGUGGGCGUAGGAAAUUUGAGAGGAGCUGUCCUUAGUACGAGAGGACCGGGAUGGACAUACCUCUGGUGUACCAGUUGUCGUGCCAACGGCAUAGCUGGGUAGCUAUGUAUGGACGGGAUAAGUGCUGAAAGCA